AGACAAAAUAAAAGAGAACAAAAUACCUUGAAAGAACAGACUACAUAAGAAGAGUUCAAAAACUUUUAAAAAAUCAAUAUAUUUGGAGAGAAAAAAAAAACAGGAAAUAAAACAUGAUGUUAUAAGUAGGAAUAUAAGGGUAAUAUUUUUUAAAUACUUGAAAAUAAAAUUAUUUUAUUAUACACUCCUACUUCAGGGCAUGACAUCAUGAAAUUUCAAAAAAUUGGUAUUUAAAUAUUGUGUAAACUUGGAAAAAAAUCACCUGAGCCCCAUACAAAGAUCAGAAAUCAGAAUGGUGUUUCGUUUUUGCAUAGCAAUCUUGCAAAUAGAAGAAAUGUAAUCAUUAAAUCCAGGGAAAGUAAAUGAGUUGGGCAAGAAGAAAAGGCCAUCACUGCUAACUUUAUGCUGGAUUUGAACUGUAUUUAAAUAUCACAGUAUUAAAAAUAAUGAAUACUGAUCUACCAAAAUUAAAAUGUAACUAUUAAGUUGAGACACAUGAAAUUCUUGUUUGGGGGGCUGGGGUUGUAGCUCAGUGGUAGGGUGCUUGCCUAGCACAUGUGUGUGAGGCACUGGGUUCAGCACAACAUAAAAAUAUAUGAAUAAAAUAAAGGAACUGUGCCCAUCCACAACUGAAAAUAUAUUUAAAAGAAAACAAAAAGAAAUUCUUGUUUUUGUAUAUUAGGGAAUGGAAGAGUGUGUGUGUGUGUGUGUGUGUGUGUGUGUGUCAAAAAAGAAGUGCAUGGGGGUUUGGGAUUGUGGCUCAGUGGUACAGCGCUUGCUUAGCAUGUGUGAGGCACUGGGUUCAAUCCUCAGCACCACAUAAAAAAUAAAUAAAAUAAAUGUACUGGGUCAAUCUACAACUAAAAAUUUUUUUUUUAAAUAAAAAAAGAGCAUGCUAAGAAAAUUCUUAAAACUAAAAAUUCAAGAAGCAGCCAGGGACAUAGCUCAGUGAGAGCUUUUGCCUAGCAUGUGUUAGGCCUUGGGUUCAAUUCACAGUACAACAAUCAAUAUUUUUUAAAAAAAAUCAGGAAACAGUAAAAUAAGUAUUGUUACUUUUAAAUACAUGGAAAUAAAUAUCAAUAUACUAGGCUAAAGAGGUAAAUAAAAAGGAGUGGUUUAUGGGAAAAGGAAAAAAUUCUGUUUUUUCUAAAAAAAGAUAGUAAAUCUGCUCAAUUAUUUGACUCUUUUAUACUACUAUAUAUAUUAUGUAAGACCUAUAGUAAACACUAGAUGAUAUAUACAUUAAAUUAGAAAAGAAGAAGAAGAGGAAGAAGAAUGGAGGAGGAGAAAAGACAAGGUUCAGGGCAGAGAGUCAGAUAUAUACCACAGGUAUUUUAAUGUCUCAGGAGGGUACUUUCUGGAUAUAAGAAAACUUUCUCUGUCAUAUUAUUGUUAGAGACAGGCGUUCUCCAACAGUGCUCUUCCACAAAUGAGAUAACAACAAAACCUGAGUGAGUUUCAUUGUUCAACAUUUUCUCUUUUAAGUUAGAUAUGGAGAAUAAGACCUCAGUUCUCUUAACUUGUUCUUUGGUUAACAUAAUAUAAACAUCCUUUUCUGAAUAAUGUUUACUUUUUCAAACUGGUAACAACAUUAAUAAUUCCAGAGGCUUUUAAAACUUUAUUUUAUAGAGAUUCAUUUUUAAUGAUUAAAUUUUUUUUAAAAGGUAAGAAAUAUAAGAUACGAACGAAUAGAGUGAAACAUAAAAAUGUUUCUGUAAAACAAAACCACAUAUAGUCUAACCUAAGAAACUUGGAACAGGAAGGAUAGGAAGGAUGGAUGUGUAUAUAUGAUAGCAAUAAGAAAAGAAUGUACUAAGAUUAAAACUAUACAGUUCUAAAAAUUGGUUAUUUCAGAUACUUCACCCUAAAACUCAAAAGACUUGUUUUUGGUAGUGCUGGGGAUUGAACCCAGACUUCUCUAGCAUUAGCCCUCCCUACCCCACACCCAAUCCAACUCUGAAUCUUGAAAAGAAUAUAACCUUGAAUCCUUCUGCAUAUCAUUUAUGAAAUGAUACCACUCUCACUAUACUUAUUUAUAAUUGUAGAAAUAAUAUCUAUUAAAGAUUCUCCUACACACUAAGAAUUUACAGGCAAAUCUCAAAUAUCAAGAUAAUGACAUGACAGACAAUCUUUCUUAUGUUCUCAUCAGUCUUUGGAAGAAAUGAUAGGCCAACAGGUUUAUAAUCCAAAUGCAGAACUAUUAAUUGACAUGAACAGCAUUUAUUUUGUCAGUAUCUUUCCAAAACAAGCCAAAUGCCCUGAGCGUGAAUAAAACAUGUAGUAAAAAUCUGACAAUGAAUUCUUUUCCAACUUUUUAAAAGGGAUGAGUCACUCCAGACCUUUAAUAUAAUUUUAUUUUCUUUAAACAGUAUUUAGCAUGCCAAGACUUUCUAAACCACUACAAAGGCAAAAUCCCUGACUAUAAGGUAUAUGCAUGCUUUCCUUUAUUAAGUGCUACUGUGAACCAAUUAAGUAAGUAUUAUUCCUGACCUUGCAGUAUGAAAGAAAUAAGAAGAUGUAAUAAACAAUGGGGAGAGGAGAGGAGAAAACCCUUCUUAGUGGGAUUAAGUCAGAAAUUUGGAACAGGAAGGAUAGGAAGGAUGUAUGUAUUUCUCUAGGAAAUAAGAGAGGCUCUUUCAGAAGAGAGAUUAUAAUCUGAGUAGUCUUUGUAGCUCUCUCUACAUCCUAGCAAAGAAACUAGCAAUACCCAGACUAUGCCUAAAGACUGAACUAUGCCAAUCUUAGCACCCAAAGAAGCAAGAAAGUCCAAAUAAUCUUUGGAUUUAGCUAUUCUGGAUGCUGCACACAAUAAAGGUCACAACCUCCCCUCUGAGGACAGCAGCUCCUCACCUGUUGUUGUACUGGUACCUGCUGUACCACUUGCGUAGGCACUGCUGCUUGACUAGCCACAGAUGUCUGUAAAGUCACUCACUGUCAAACCUGUGUCUGACCCAGUCUCUGAUGUCUGCAUGAUGGUCUCUGAAAUACAUGAAAAUAGAAGUAAAAUUUAAAAUGUUCACCUUGCAUGCUGAGCUUCAUUUCAUUUGUUCUUAAUAUCCUAUUGGGAGACUUAGAACUCUCAAAAUACCUCCCAACCCAAUAUACUGCCAUGACAACUCAUGCAUGUUUAUAGUUUUUCUGACCACUUUUUAACUAAAUGCAGAAAAUUACUAAUCCACAUUUUCAUUGAAAAAAAUCCUUACUACCUCUUAACCUGAGAUAAUAAACACUGAACAUCAUUGAAAGCUACCAUGCUAGACUUUGUUAUAAAUUAUUUCAAUCUCUUUUUUAUUUAUAUAUGACAGCAGAAUGCAUUACAAUUCUUAUUACACAUAUAGAGCACAAUUUUUCAUAUUUCUGGUUGUAUACAAAGUAUAUUCACACCAUACAUCAUGUAGUUUGUAUAAUAAUUUCCAUCACAUUCUACCAUCAUUUCUAAACCCAAGCCCUCUCCCUUCCCCUCCAACCCCUUUGCCCUAUCUAGAAUUCAUCUAUUCCUCCCAUGCUCCCUCUCCCUAUCCCACUAUGUAUCAACCACCUUAUAUCAAAGAAAACAUUCGGCAUUUGGUUUUUUGGGGAUUGGCUAACUUCACUUAGCAUUAUCUUCUCUACAUUUACCUUCAAAUGCCAUGAUUUUAUUCUCUUUUAUUGCUGAGUAAUAUUCUGUUUUUUAUAUAUAUAACAGAAUAUUACUCAGCAAUAAAAGAGAAUAUAUAUAUAUAUAUAUAUAACAGAUAUAUAUAUGCACCACAUUUUUAAUCCAUUCAUCUAUUGAAGGGCAUCUAGGUUGGUUCCACAGAUUCAAAAUUAUUUCAAAAUUCUCUUAACUCUCAGAACACAAGACCUAACUGGUUAUAAAAUAUGUCACAAACUAUACUUUCUAAACACUUUCCUAGGUUAUGUAUGUAGAAUAAGUAAUUUCCAAAGUCCUUUCCAACUUAAAAACUUACAAUUUGGUAAUCUAAAAAAAGUUUACAUCCAAAAUCAACUGAUAUACACAAAACUAGCCAAAGGAUCAAGUUCACUAAUUUUCUCAGGCUUCCUAGCCUUGACACGUCACCCUUUUCACUACUUACACAUUCAAUAAAAUAAACACAAAUUUCCUUACUACUGAGCAGGGACCAAAAUUCUAAUUUUCUUUCCUGUGGUGGGAGGGACAGUAUUUAAUUGGUAGCCUAAGAACAUUGUAUCAUAACUUAAAUCUAUAAAAAGUAGAGUGAGCAUUAAUUUUCCCUAAAAAAAUGUUUUUAAAAAAUCUGAGUAUUUAGUUCUCUCAAGGAGAAAAUUAACCCCUCUUUUGUCACAGCGUGACCUCUUCCAAUUCUUUUUCCCCAAACCUUCUAUCAUCUCAUUAAAUUUUAUAAAUAAACCUCUGAGGACAUCAAAUAUACUUUGCUUAUUUUAUAAAAGAAGAAACUAACACAGAGAGAAAUUAAGAGAUUCAGUGGUGACAGAAGAUGACUUGUGACUGGGUUUUCACAUUUUGUACAUUCCAAAAGUAUAGCAAUAAUAGCUACCACUGUUUAACAAGUGCUAAGGACCCUUCUAAAUGCUUUACAUAUUAACUCAUAAACAAAACUCAUAUAACAACACAGUAUAGUUAAUAUGAGUAUAAUUUCCAUUUACAAUCUAGAAACCUCAGGUAUAUAGAGUACAGGAGAAUAGAGGUUACAAAAUUGAACAAUAGUGAUGAAAACUGUGGCUAAUACUCCAUGUAUAUGAUUCAGCUCACUUUAACCUCCAGGAUAUGGUUGUUUUGUGGGAAGGCAAAUCUGUAGAUAAUAGAUCUAUUUUUCUAAAAGAAGCUGAAAAAUCCAUAUUUUUAAAUAUGAAAUCUUACAAAUUGUGGCUGUUUAAAAAUGUGGUAAACACACAAACACACAUACACACAAACACACACACACACACACACACACCCCUUUGGACUAGUAUUAAGGCCAUGGAUAUGUUGAAAAAUCCAUAAGAAUGGCAGUAUUCACUAUACAAAACCCUUACCUAAUUGUAAUUACUAGAGGGCCAAUGACUCCCAAAACUUUCAGAGAGAAUACACAAAUUAGGAAGCCUAUCUAUUCCUGCUUCUUCUUUCUUCCAUGAUAGACUGGUGGGAAUAGGGGAUCAACCCCCCCCCCCCCAAAAGAAAAAAAAGCCAAAACCAGCGUUGAUUCAUUAUAUACUUGUAGACUACUGAUAGCAUUUGUGCUACAACAGAGGAUCAAUUAGGGAGAUUAAGGAAAUAUUUUCUUCAAGGACUGAACCAUGUAUUUAGAUACCAUCUUCUAAGAAGUUUUUGCCAGUCUCUCUUGCCAACUCCAAGAUGGAUGGUGGUCUUUGGCAGUUUAUUAUACAGAGAAAGAAGACAGAUUGACCAAAGUUAUUAUAAUUUGCUCACGCAAUUGUAGGUGAGUUUCUUACAGCAUAGCCAUUUUACUCUCAUAUUCUCUCAUGUUUCUUCCAGAAUCAGCUGGGAAAUUUGCUAUGACUAGCUCUUGGGCUCAUCCACUGUAUUGCAGACUGGUCUACAUAUCCUUUUUCGGUAUAUGACCCAUAUUUUGACAGCUACUAUUUUAAAUCAAACACAUGUAAAAAUGUAAAAAAGUUUUUUAAAAAUUAUCUGUACCCUUAAAGCAAUUCAUACCCACUCCAAAUAAACUGCCCCAGAGAUUAUAUCAGGAAAUAAAAGGCAUAGACUGGAAAUUGACCCCCUAUGGACCAUAUUAGACUCUACACACAGAUUUUCUUUGAAUGGAUUGAUUACAAAUCAAAAUCCUUAAUCCCUAAUAUUUGAAAAUCAGAAAAUUUUGCAUUAAAAUAAAGAGUUCCAGACUUUCUUGAAAAGUGUCAAAACCUGAAAGAAGGUGAGCUCAUACUAUGUGUUUUAUAGUCAUGAUUUUUAAAUGGCAAUACUCAUUCACUUGGCCCCUAUAGGUAUUUGAGUAUUAUUUCUAUAAAUUGCAAGUAGAAAAUUGCUUUAUUGGUUCAAAACAAUACUGAUAAUAUUUAUACUGAUUCAUCUAUUUAUAAAGAAGAGUUAAUAUCCCAGCUUUUAUAAAGCCAUGAUUUCCCUUAUUUGAUAGGUGAGUCAGUUGAAGCUCAGAGAUAUUAAGUCACUUACUCAAGGCUGCAGGGGUGCUUGACUUCUGGAUGCAAUUAAGAACCAAUCCCCUCAGUUUUGUCUGCAUUUUUUUUGUUUUUGUUUUUGUUAUUCACAAACAUAAUUUCAUUCUCCUGUGAUUUCAUUAUCCUCUUUGGCUUUGAGGAAGAGCCUUUCUCUGCCAAGUCUCAUCCUUGAGAGGGUCUCAAUCACACCCCUUCCAAAGUUUAGCUCUGAAGUUCAUAAACAUAAUUCUUAUUUAGUAAGUCUUUCCUGGUGCUUUUCUAAGGCUAUCUGCUUUAAAAACAUGGUCUCAUUUAAUCCUCGGGUGAUCCCCAUGAUGGAGGUGUUAUUUUCCCUACUUAGCAAUGAGGAAACUAAGUCACAAAUAAAUUUCAAAACUGAACAAAAGCUACAUAACUAGAAAGAGUAAGAAGCUGGAUCCACCUAUAUCCGUCUGCUUCUAAAGUCCAUGAUGUCAAUCACUACUUACAUUACUGGGCAAUACCAUAAUGACUGGGCUUCCAAAUGAAAAGCUAGAGACUGUUGGUCGGAAGAGCAGACAUUUAGAUUCUAGGUCCAUAGUAUUUUAUCUAUACUUCAACAAGGGACAUAGAGCUCAUCUUUCUGACAUCAAAGUUAAGGAAAUAUUUCCUCCUUUCCUACUGAGGUCAUAAAAAAAGCCAACCAAUAAGCAAUUUUCCAUACAAAUUUUAAGUGAUUAAUUCUUUUUUUUAUUUUUAUUUUUUAAUUUUUAUUGUUGGUUUUUCAAAACAUUACAUAGUUCUUGAUAUAUCAUAUUUCACACUUUGAUUCAAGUGGGUUAUGAGCUCCCAUUUUUACCCCAUAUACAGAUUGCAGAAUCACAUCAGUUACACAUCCAUUGAUUUACAUAUUGCCAUACUAGUGUCUGUUGUGUUCUGCUGCCUUUCCUAUCCUCUACUAUCCCCCCUCCCCUCCCCUCCCCUCUUCUCUCUCUGCCCCCUCUACUGACAUUCAUUUGUCCCCCUUGUAUUAUUUUUCCCUUUCCCCUCACUUCCUCUUGUAUGUAAUUUUGUAUAACCCUGAGGGUCUCCUUCCAUUUCCAUGCAAUUUCCCUUCUCUCUCCCUUUCCCUCCCACCUCUCAUCCCUGUUUAAUGUUAAUCUUCUUCUCAUGCUCUUCGACCCUACUCUGUUCUUAGUUACUCUCCUUAUAUCAAAGAAGACAUUUGGCAUUUGUUUUUUAGGGAUUGGCUAGCUUCACUUAGCAUAAUCUGCUCUAAUGCCAUCCAUUUCCCUGUAAAUUCUAUGAUUUUGUCAUUUUUUAAUGCAGAGUAAUACUCCAUUGUGUAUAAAUGCCACAUUUUUUUUAUCCAUUCAUCUAUUGAAGGGCAUCUAGGUUGGUUCCACAGUCUUGCUAUUGUGAACUGUGCUGCUAUGAACAUCGAUGUAGCAGUGUCCCUGUAGCAUGCUCUUUUUAGGUCUUUAGGGAAUAGACCAAGAAGGGGAAUAGCUGAGUCAAAUGGUGGCUCCAUUCCCAGCUUUCCAAGAAAUCUCCAUACUGCUUUCCAAAUUGGCUGCACCAAUUUGCAGUCCCACCAGCAAUGUACAAGUGUACCCUUUUCCCCACAUCCUCGCCAGCACUUGUUGUUGUUUGACUUCAUAAUGGCUGCCAAUCUUACUGGAGUGAGAUGGUAUCUUAGGGUGGUUUUGAUUUGCAUUUCUCUGACUGCUAGAGAUGGUGAGCAUUUUUUCAUGUACUUGUUGAUUGAUUGUAUGUCCUCCUCUGAGAAGUGUCUGUUCAGGUCCUUGGCCCAUUUGUUGAUUGGGUUAUUUGUUUUCUUAUUGUUUAAUUUUUUGAGUUCUUUGUAUACUCUGGAUAUUAGGGCUCUAUCUGAAGUGUGAGGAGUAAAGAUUUGUUCCCAGGAUGUAGGCUCUCUAUUUACCUCUCUUAUUGUUUCUUUUGCUGAGAAAAAACUUUUUAGUUUGAGUAAGUCCCAUUUGUUGAUUCUAGUUAUUAACUUUUGUGCUAUGGGUGUCCUAUUGAGGAAUUUGGAGCCCGACCCCACAGUAUGUAGAUCGUAGCCAACUUUUUCUUCUAUCAGACGGCGUGUCUCUGAUUUGAUAUCAAGCUCCUUGAUCCAUUUUGAAUUAACUUUUGUGCAUGGCGAGAGAAAGGGAUUCAGUUUCAUUUUGUUGCAUAUGGAUUUCCAGUUUUCCCAGCACCAUUUGUUGAAGAUGCUAUCCUUCCUCCAUUGCAUGCUUUUAGCCCCUUUAUCAAAUAUAAGAUAGUUGUAGUUUUGUGGAUUGGUUUCUGUGUCCUCUAUUCUGUACCAUUGGUCCACCC
This 8418-nucleotide long non-coding RNA is filed under the name Marmota monax (woodchuck). The record is from RNAcentral. Lineage: Eukaryota; Metazoa; Chordata; Mammalia; Rodentia; Sciuridae.